This 860-nucleotide long non-coding RNA is filed under the name Oreochromis niloticus (Nile tilapia). RNAcentral's name for it is "lncRNA (ENSONIG00000033514.1)". The record is from RNAcentral. Lineage: Eukaryota; Metazoa; Chordata; Actinopteri; Cichliformes; Cichlidae.
CCAGUGUUAACCCCGUCAGCCAGUCUGAGGAUGUUUUGGUCCUUUUACUGUGUUCCUAUUUAAAGCUGAUUGAUUGCUUUGUGUUUCUUCUCCUGUAAUUUCAUCACUGUGAUUGCACUGUUUGUGUCUUUCUAUAACAGUACCAUCAGCACUGAAAAAUGUGAAGUCAAGGACGUUGGUGUCCAGACAGAGGUUUCCUGCCCUCCAAACUCGCUGCUGUUUUUCUGCACGAAAAAGGUGACCUUAGAUGAUGAGCCGCGUUGUCCUGAAGUCAAUGAGAGAGAUGAGCCAGUUUCCAGGCCGUGUACCCCAGCAGGUCACGGUGGUAGCCAGGGAGCCAUGCUAAGAGACCACGUCACACACUGCUGACUAACAUACGAUGAUGAGUUCGUCAAUGAUGAGCAGUGGCAGAGAACAGCUUACCUGCUGUUCUAUGAAAAACAGGUGAUUUCUCCCAUCAAACAGCUGGAUUGUAAAUGGUAAAUGGCCUGUAUUUGUAUAGUGCUUUACUAGUCCCUAAGGACCCCAAAGCGCUUUACAUCCAUCCAUUCACACACACAUUCACACACUGGUGAUGGCAAGCUACAUUGUAGCCUCAGCCACCCUGGGGCGCACUGACAGAGGCGAGGCUGCCGAACACUGGCGCCACCGGGCCCUCUGACCCUGGAUUGUGUUGGAUACUGUCGUUUAUAUAAGAUUUUAUUGUAAUGUAUAGUAUAUAAGACUUUUAUUUUAUUUGUAUCUUUUUAUGUUUAUGUUGUUUAGUGUACACCGAGGGCCGUGGGAGCGUUGCAAUUACAAAUUCUUGUGUAUGACCUGUCCAUAUGUUUUUUUGACAAAAAGAUGACUUUGAAUUUGAG